UCUAGGGAGAGACCUGUUGUCUGUAACCAGUAACUAGUCUAGGGAGAGACCUGUUGUCUGUAACCAGUAACUAGUCUAGGGAGAGACCUGUUGUCUGUAACCAGUAACUGGUCUAGGGAGAGACCUGUUGUCUUUAGUUAAAUUUAUUUAAAUGAAUGUAAUACACAUUAUUAUAUCCUUCUGGCUAAAUCCCAAAUGGCACCCUAAAUGACCAGUUCAAAAGUAGUGCACUUUAUAGGGAACAGGGUGUCAUUUGGGCCAAAUAUAGGAUAAUUUGACUGUAGCCUUCUGCGUUCAGCAGAGACCACUUUUUCCUUGUUGGCACUUUAUCUGUUGGUUAGUAGGUGUUAUUAUAUUAUUGAACCUCUUGAGCCAUACGCUAUUGGGUUAGUCAGACUGAUCAGCAAGUCUCAAUAAGGUGUUGGGAUCAACAAGUCUCAAAAAGGUGUUGGGUUAGUCAGGCUGAUCAACAAGUCUCAAUAAGGUGUUGGGAUCAACAAGUCUCAAUAAGGUGUUGGGUUAGUCAGGCUGAUCAACAAGUCUCAAUAAGGUGUUGGCAUCAACAAGUCUCAAUAAGGUGUUGGGUUAGUCAGGCUGAUCAACAAGUGUCAAUAAGGUGUUGGGUUAGUCAGGCUGAUCAACAAGUCUCAAUAAGGUGUUGGCAUCUACAAGUCUCAAUAAGGUGUUGGGUUAGUCAGGCUGAUCAGCAAGUCUCAAGUCUCAAACACCUUAGUAAUAUAUUCUGUCCAUGGACUCAUGCUACUCAUAUUCACUGGGGUUGUGUGUCCCAAAUGGCAACUCAUUCUACAUUUGACCAGGGCCCAUAUGGGGGAUAGGAGGUCAUUAAUGACCGGGGCCCAUAUGGGGGGGGAUAGGAAGUCAUUAAUGACCAGGGCCCAUAUGGGGGAUAGGAAGUCAUUAAUGACCAGGGCCCAUAU
Oncorhynchus tshawytscha (Chinook salmon) is the source of this 938-nucleotide long non-coding RNA. NCBI's taxonomy places the organism in Eukaryota, Metazoa, Chordata, Actinopteri, Salmoniformes, Salmonidae. The record is from Ensembl.